This 567-nucleotide long non-coding RNA is filed under the name Homo sapiens (human). RNAcentral's name for it is "HSALNT0356228". Lineage: Eukaryota; Metazoa; Chordata; Mammalia; Primates; Hominidae. The record is from RNAcentral.
AGGGUUCACUUGCAGACAGCAGAGUCUGCCCCGGCUAGUUACACAGAGGAGGAUUGAUUACCGGCUUUCAGUGACUCCCAGCAUCACUGCGGGGGCGGGGGGUGCUGAAGAAAUUGAAGACACUCCAGGCUGCCUCCCAAAGCCACACAGCAGAAAGGGGCCACCAAGAAGCUGAGAUUCUGUCGUCACCGGAGAGCCGCCUGCCUGCAGGCCAGCCCUGCAUGUGACUGUUGCUGCUGCGUGCACACCCGCUCAGUGCUGCCCUUCAUCCCACUUCCCCUCCCCAGCACAGGAAGGCGCCCCAGAGAGAGGCUGGAAUACACACUGUGUGAGCCAGUCUGCAGACUCUGCCAGAUGCCUAUGGAGACAUCCUUGUGAAAUUAGAAUAGCUCUUCUCAGUUUAUUUAUGGAAUCUUCUUGAAGAUCAAAGAUGCAGCACCGCUGUUGGUUUUGGUUUCCCCUAUUAUAACGGAGUCUGAAUGAAAGGUGGAACAACCCUAAGAUCAUAAUGCUGUUGAUUUAAUGUUGGAAGCUCCUCCAAGGAAGGGACCAUGCCAUGCAUUUAUU